This 70-nucleotide transfer RNA is filed under the name Thienemanniella nipponica. Its description in RNAcentral is "tRNA-Arg". Lineage: Eukaryota; Metazoa; Arthropoda; Insecta; Diptera; Chironomidae. The record is from RNAcentral.
GAAUAUGAAACAUUUAAUGUAAUUAGUUUCGACCUAAUAAAAAGUGAAAAAUUCAAAUCACUCUUAUUCU